This 253-nucleotide ribosomal RNA is filed under the name uncultured bacterium. RNAcentral's name for it is "partial 16S ribosomal RNA". It matches the Rfam family "Bacterial small subunit ribosomal RNA", at positions 524 to 776 of the family's 1533-position model. The record is from RNAcentral.
UACGUAGGGACCAAGCGUUGUUCGGAUUUAUUGGGCGUAAAGGGCGCGUAGGCGGUGCGGUAAGUCACCUGUGAAAACUCUGGGCUCAACUCAGAGCCUGCAGGCGAAACUGCCGUGCUUGAGUGUGGGAGAGGUGCGUGGAAUUCCCGGUGUAGCGGUGAAAUGCGUAGAUAUCGGGAGGAAUACCGAUGGCGAAGGCAGGUCUCUGGGCUGACACUGACGCUCAUGCACGAAAGCGUGGGGAGCAAACAGG